This 319-nucleotide long non-coding RNA is filed under the name Physcomitrium patens. RNAcentral describes it as "long non-coding RNA (PPAT_LNC008142)". Lineage: Eukaryota; Viridiplantae; Streptophyta; Bryopsida; Funariales; Funariaceae. The record is from RNAcentral.
AGUUUGAUUUGAAGAUCUUGCAUCCCUCAUACAAUCUCCUCAAGUCCCAUAUCUUCUUUCUUUAGUGUAGUCAAUGGAAGUUGGAGAAUAGGCAGAGUCAAUCUUGUAGUAGGCAUUAGGAUCUUUGGUACUUGUACCACUCUUCGAGUACUAAAUCUAUCUUUUCUCCUUUCUUUUUUUACAAGUAAUCCAAUAGCAUCUUCAACAAUUCUCCACUUUGUUAUCAAUCCUUCCUCUUCUUCCUUAUCUUCAAGUAGAACCUCUAAUUUCUCUUGUAAUUCUUCAUUAGUAGCUUGAAAAAACAAUUCAACCUUGUUUG